Molecule: ribosomal RNA, 495 nt
Filed under: uncultured bacterium
Lineage: Bacteria
Description: partial 16S ribosomal RNA
Rfam family: Bacterial small subunit ribosomal RNA
Source: RNAcentral
GACGAACGCUGGCGGCGUGCCUAAUACAUGCAAGUAGAACGCUGAAGGAGGAGCUUGCUUCUCUGGAUGAGUUGCGAACGGGUGAGUAACGCGUAGGUAACCUGCCUGGUAGCGGGGGAUAACUAUUGGAAACGAUAGCUAAUACCGCAUAAUAGUAGAUGUUGCAUGACAUUUGCUUAAAAGGUGCAAUUGCAUCACUACCAGAUGGACCUGCGUUGUAUUAGCUAGUUGGUGGGGUAACGGCUCACCAAGGCGACGAUACAUAGCCGACCUGAGAGGGGGAUCGGCCACACUGGGACUGAGACACGGCCCAGACUCCUACGGGAGGCAGCAGUAGGGAAUCUUCGGGAAUGGACGGAAGUCUGACCGAGCAACGCCGCGUGAGUGAAGAAGGUUUUCGGAUCGUAAAGCUCUGUUGUAAGAGAAGAACGAGUGUGAGAGUGGAAAGUUCACACUGUGACGGUAUCUUACCAGAAAGGGACGGCUAACUACGUG